CUUCCGUGAUGAUCCGAUGACGAGUCAGAACCGGACGCCGUCCUGCUCGGAGUAACCAGCUCGGGGCCACGUUCUGUGGGGCCGCGCUCGGGUGCUCCGACAGGCGUGUCCUCUUCCUUGGAUGACAGAGGCAUUUGUCUGAGAAGG
Small nucleolar RNA from Heteronotia binoei (common prickly gecko), 147 nucleotides. The record is from RefSeq and is a predicted model, not a curated record. Lineage: Eukaryota; Metazoa; Chordata; Lepidosauria; Squamata; Gekkonidae.